AUGAAGAGAAACCUCCUCAUCAUCCUCAUCAUCACAUCAGGUGUGUUUGGUGCUGAUGAAAUCAGACCAUCAAAAGAUCAGGAGACUGAUGUUUCUGGAAAAGAAGGAGAACCUGUUAUACUGAAAUGCUCUUAUGACUCAAAUAGUCAAUAUGUCUUUCUCUACUGGUACAGACAGUAUCCUAACAGAGCUCUACAGUAUCUACUGCUGAGAGGUGCUCGUCAGCGGAGUGACAGUAAUAUUGCCGACCACAGAUUUUCAUCAACUACAUCCAGCUCUUCCACUGAGCUCACUCUUAGAGAACCAAGACUGGCAGAUACAGCUCUCUACUACUGUGCUCUUAGAGUUGGAGCCCAGUGA
This is a non-coding RNA of Pygocentrus nattereri (red-bellied piranha), 360 nucleotides long. The record is from the annotation of a RefSeq genome assembly. NCBI's taxonomy places the organism in Eukaryota, Metazoa, Chordata, Actinopteri, Characiformes, Serrasalmidae.